GAGUCUCACCCUGUUGCUCAAGCUGACUGAAAUGCAGCGGUGCAAUCUCGGCUGACUGCAGCCUCCAUCUCCCGGGUUCAAGCGAUUCUCGUGCCUCAGCCUCCCGAGUAGCUGGGAUUACAGGCACCCGCCACCAUGCCCAAUUCAUUUUUUUUUUUUUUUUUUUUUUUAGUAGAGACAGGUUUUGCCAUGUUGGCCAGGCUGGUCUCCAACUCCUGACCUCAAGUGAUCUGCCUGCCUCAGCCUCCCAAAGUGCUAGGAUUACAGGCAUGAGCCACAGCGCCCAGCCAUUUUUUUUUCUUUUUUCUGAGAUGGUCUCCUUCUGUUGCUCAGGCUAGAUGGAGUACAGUGGCGACAUCAUGGCUCACUGCAGCCUCCACCUCCCAUGCUCAAGAGAUCCCCCCACCUCAGCCUCUUAGGUAGCUGCGACGACACGUGUGCACCAGCAGAAGCAGCUAAUUUUUUGUAGAGACCGGGGUCUCCCUAUGUUGCCCAAGCUGGUCUAGAACUUGUGGGCUCAAGCGACCCACCGGCCUUGGCCUCCCAAAGUGCUAUGAUUACAGGUCUUAUGUUCUUAAAGUUUUUCUUUGACAUGGUAUAGGAUAGUCUAGUAACUUAACAUACUGUGGUUUUCAACAGGCUAGCGCUUAUGAUCUGUAAAAGAACUCUUCAGAGAUGAGCUCAAUUUUACCAUGAAUUGGGACACUUUCCAUUUCUUUCUAUUCUAUAGAGCAGUUUACUUGUCAUGAGCUCUGUCUUUUGAAAACUUGAAAGCCUGCAGCAAUAAAACCAGCUGCACCUGGUGCAUGGGAUAGGCAUGGAAUUGAGGAGGGAGUUCAAACUACGGUCAGCCCUCUGUAUCCUCGGGUUCAAGAUCCUUGGAUUUAACCAACUGUGCAUCAAAAAUAUUUGGAAAAAGUAAAACAAUAAAAAGCAAAAAGUUAUAAAUACUUUAUAACAGGUACUUACAAAGCACUUACGUUGUAUUAGGUAUUAUAGUAAUCUAGAGAUGAUUUAAAGUAUACGGAAGGAUGUGCAUAGGUUAUAUGCAAAUACUAUGCCAUAUUAUAUCAGGGACUUGAGCAUCAGUGAAUUUUGGUAUCUCUGGGGUCCUGGAACCAAUAUCCUGAAGUUACUAAGGGAUGACUGUCUUCAGUUUCUUCUUUGGUUAUUAGUUUAUUCUCUGAUGUAUUUUUGUUGUUGUUUUGUCUUUUUGUUUUUGCCUCUGCAAGUCAAUGUCGGAAACUUAGCUGUUCUAGACUACCAUUAGCUCAAAGCUACCAGUAAGCAGACUACCACUGCAAUCUAAGCAACCGAUUUUUUUCCCCAUCAGAUUGGCAAAAAUUAAGCAUCUGUUGAUGUUGAAGCUGUAGGGAGUUUUCCUGAGCAAGUAAUUAUGACAGCCCUUUUUGUUAGGCACCUAGACGAUUCAUCAAAAUGAAAUAAAAUACCCAUGCGCUUGAAGAAGUUAUCUGGUUAUUUCCUUAUCUGGGUGCUGGUUAUGUGAGGUGCACAGUUGAUGAAAACUUAUUAAGCUUUAUAUUUAUAAUAGGUACAAUUUUCUGUAUGUGUAGUAGACUUCAAUAGUUUUUAAAAUGUCUUUUGCCACACCCCGCAGCUGUGUAUAAUGCUAUUCGCUUAACAGUGAAAAACAUGGCAAUGACCUGAAUCCCCCUGGCUCCCAGGAUCCUACCCCCUUAAGUUAAACAAAUGAAAUAACUUCCACUGUCCUUCCUAAUGCCUUAAUUCGGUCCUCAGUUAAACUGAUGGUGGGCGCUGUUUUUUUUCCAGGGAACGAUUCUGGGAGACGGAGGAGGAGACGCCAGCAUUUCGCCCCCGGCCCCUCGAUUGGGCUGCGGUCCGCUCCCGGCCUCACUCGAGCAGGCCCCGCCCUCCCAGAGGCCGUUAGUCCAAGUCAAGUGAUCGUCGACUCAGUUGACCCCGUCGGACCGGAAAAAGAAAUCCCCGGGCCCUGGCUUCCUGGCGCGAUGAUGAGGCACCAGGGGAUCCAGGCUGUAGGUGAGGGGCUGGUGAGCAGGGGCCUGGCACCCGCUGAAGGUCUCCUUUCCCCAUAGUAUGAGAAGAUCCUGAAGCUCACAGUUGACGCUAAGUUUGGUGAGUACCCCACUGAGUCCACAGGCCCCAGGCAACCCUGGGACCUUGGCCUGGUGCCUGGUACAGAGGGUCCCCGCACCCCUCCCAGCAGCAUCCUUAACCUGCCUUCCCUAGUGGAGGAGCAUGAGGGAAAGAAAGACAUUGACAGUCCCACCUUCCUGUCCUCUGCCAGCUCCUGAUGGAGCAGUAGCAGUGCCCACAACCCUUAGGAAGCCUUGGGGCCUUGAGCUGAAGUUAAUAGGGCAACUGGGAGGUGGCUGGGGCCACAGUGACACCCCCUGUCCCAGCCAUGGGUCCCUCAGGGUCAGGCGAUGUGAAGGCCACAGUGGCAGUGCUGAGUUUCAUGCUCUCCAGUGCUGCCAAGCACAGUGUCGAUGGCGAAUCCUUGGCCAGUGAACUGCAGCAGCUGGGGCUGCCCAAAGAGCACGCGGCCAGCCUGUGCUGCUGUUAUGAGGAGAAGCAAAGCCCCUUGCAGAAGCACUUGCGGGUCUGCAGCCUAUGCAGUAAGUAUGAGGCCAGCCAGGGUCCAGGCUCAUUCUAGAAGGUGCACGCAGCACACAAAGUGCAUGGAGAGUCCAGGGAGAUGACCUAACCAUGGUCACAUACCGAGCAGCCGCAGAGCCGGGACGUGGCCCUCAGUCUCCUGACUCCGCGCGCUCUGUGAUGUGUACGUACAGGAUCAGACCUUGCCCUUUCCUCCUGGCUGACCCUUCCUUAGUCCCCUGUGCCCCAUGUGUGAGCACCCAGCUCACUCUCAUUCCUCCCUCUCCAAAGCAUGGUCCCUGGCAGCACGAGUGGCAGAAGGGACAGCAGAGACUGUGGACCCCUCAGCUGCACCUAAGAUCUCUGUGUGGUCUAGCUGUGUGUGCUGGGGGAGGCUUUUGGCCACCAUUUCCCCCUCUGUAAAUGAGACCGAUACCUGUGGCAUGGAGGACAGGAGGCUGGUGUGAGUGCCAAGCACUUGGAGCAGGGACGCAGUGAGCAUGGACGUGGGAGCAGGGGUGUUCCUCAACUUUAUGCACCUUGGGGAUGGGAGUGGGGCUCCCUGCGUGGGUGGACAAGUCAUUGUUUUCUCCCACCCCACAUUUGUCCCAGCCCUGCAAGUCCAAUCCUUGUGGGUCUAGGAGGGAAGAAGCCCAUGGCUGUGUGACCUCAGGCUGGUGCCUGGCCCUCUCUGGCUGUGAGUUCCUGGGAAAGUCAGCACCCAAGGCAUGCCCUCAAGUUUAGCACUUUGACAAGAAGGGCGGGGACACUGGGAUCAGGCCCAACCCUCUGGCCCCAAAUCCCACGGCCCCAGCUGGAGGAUGAGGAGAUGCUGAGCUUGGAUGGGGGAAUCAAGGGUGUAAAGGGGCCCGCUCACCCCUCAGCUUGGCUCAAAGGUUCAAGGCGUCAAAGGUUCAGCCUGCGACUCAGGAAGGAGAGCUGGCCCAGCCAGACACUCACCAGGACAAGGGCAACUGUGACGAGCAGGAGGCCCAGGAUGAGGAGAGCCACAGCAUAGCUGGAGAUAAAGGCAUCCAGCAGGCUGGAGGCUUUCGGGCUGGGAGUGCCUAGAGCAGAGCAAGAAGGCCAUGGCCUGGUGGGGCUUUGCCUCCCAGACUUCUAAGAAGACAGAAUCUGGGCCCAGAAGCUGCUGCGGGACCAGAGAGCUGGGACUAGGAGCACCCUGGAGGGCUCCAUGAGGAGGGGAGGCAGGCUUCAGAUCAGGGCAUGUGGAGGCAGCGAGCCCAAGGGAGGAGGCAGAGGGACAGAGGGAGGCGGGCCUGCAGAGGGAAGGAGGUGAUGACCGUGUCUACCAAGAGGCCCUCUGCCUCCCACAGGGUGUGCAGACCCUGGCGUGCACAGUCCCACACGACGGCCUGGGCUGGCGCCACCCUGAAGAAGGUGGCACCCACUCUGGCGGUCAGUGGGUCCGGCCUGCUGAGAGGAUUAUCACAGACUUCAGGGGACUGUGCAGCCUUGCGGGACUAAGGGAGGUCAUGUCUUCCAGCCUCCUGUCCUCAACCCCACAAUGCUGUUCUGACCCCUGGGUCACCCAGGGCCACCCUGGACCCACCGGAAUUCCUCCACCACCACUUGGUCAAAGUUCUGCAGAGAUCUGAGGACGAGGGUCAGCUGGGGGUCAGGAGAGGAUGAAGAGGGUCACAGCUCUAGCAAACGAAGCUUCAUUCCUGGUGGUGCCUGGCCCACCCCUCUGCUGCCAAUCUCAGGCUGGCCCAGCCCUGCAGAGUAGGUGCCCAGAGGCAUCGUAGCGGUUCCUGUCAUGCUGGUCUCCCCCCGGGGCCCCCUCUGGAGCCUGGUACCACAGAUCUCAGGGUAGGGGGUACAGCUCAGUCUCCCUUCCCCCUCAUCCCCCUCAUAGGGGCUUGGUCCACCAAGGCCCCUGACUGCUAGGGGACCCACACGCAUGGCCUCCUUCUUUCUGACUGCUGGCCCUUCCCCAGCCUGGAUACUUGAGCCCUGGGCAGAGGGGUAACGAUCCCAGGACUGUCUUCGCAAGCAGAGAGGCUACUUGGCACCAGGCCCUUACUCCUUGGGCUGAGCUCAGCAGCAGGUGUGUCACCAAGGUCCCCUGGGCAGAAGGAGCUCAGCCCUGAGGGCCCAUCACUCGCAACUCCUGCAUGUUCCUGCUAGGCAUCCACCCUGGGGACCCAGCUUCCCCCUGCCCCCAGCUGCUGGCAGCCCCGUCUUGAUUCAUCCAGGGUCCUGGAGGCCAUGCCAGGAAGCAGCCAGCAGCUGGGAGGAGCACGUGGUGUUUCUGCAUCUUUUUUUAUGGAGCUCCCGUGGGUGGGAGGGGCUACAGACUCAAGGGAGACUGCAGGCCACCCCUUCCCCACUCCCUGGCUGGGUGGGCUUCCAGCUCAGGAGUCUGACUGGAAGGAUGGGACCGUGCUGUCCCAGAGGCAGGACUGAGUAGUCCAGGCCCAGUUUUACCCUCCAGCAGGGCCCCUUUCAUUCAUUUGUCCAGCUGGCUUUGCCCAAAACCCAGGUGAUGUCUAUGUGGACUGUGUCGCCUGUCCCCAAGGGGAGUCUGGCUCCAGUCCUGGCCUGGAACUUGGAGACCUUAGAAUUAGAGGCCACAUCUGGCAGGGUGGACCAGCCAGGGCAGGUAUCAUGUUGGCAGCCCCAGACCUGACACCACGGCUCCCAUGUCCCCUCUCCACUUCCGUCCUGCACAUCAUCUACGCUACGUGCUGUCUCUGAUGAAUCCAAGCUGUCAGCUUCUGUCAGCUUGGCCGGGAAGUCACGCUGACCGUAAGGGGAAUGGUGCAGCCUGAGUUGGGGGCUGAGUGGGAAUGGGCCUGGUGUGGGGUGGGGGAGGUGGGGGCGAGGCGGGUGCCUGGCACCUCUCUGCUCAUCUUCCCUUCUCCUUUGCCCACAAAGGAGGCGUCUUCUCCAUGUCCCUCUGCCACCCUGGGAACAUAAAAUUCUGCCCCAGGUCUGUCUUCCUUUGGACAUAGCCCACCUACCUUCCUGUGGGACUCAGGGCUUUGUUUUGUCCUGUGGCCCACAUGAGAAGCAAUUAUCCCUGCCCUGCUCAGCUGAGAGAGGACAAACUGAGGCAGAGCAGGGGAACAACUCUGUCAUAGUCUGACUGUUAAUGGCAGAGUCAAGACCAGCCGUUCCCUGAGUGUCAGGUCCAGUGGACACUGCAUUAGUCCACUUCGCGUUGCUCUAGAGGAAUACCUGAGACUGGGUUAUUUAUUUAUUUAUUUUUGAGAUGAAGUCUAGCUCUGUCACCCAGGCUGGAGUACAGUGGCACCAUCUCAGGACACUGCAACCUCUGCCUCCUGGGUUCAGGCUACUGUCCUGCCUCAGCCUCCUGAGUAGCUGGAAUUAUAGCCAUGCACCACCAUGCCUGGCUAAUUUGUUGUAUCUUUAGUAGAGACAGGGUUUUGAGAUGGAGUUUCACUCUUGUGGCCCAAGCUAGAGGGCAAUGGUGUGAUCAGCUCACUGCAACCUCUGCCUCCCAGUUCAAGCAAUUUUCAUGCCUCAGCCUCCCAAGUAGCUUGGAUUACAGGCAUGCACCACCAUGCCUGCCUAAAUUUUGUAUUUUUAGUUGACCGAGUUUCACCAGGUUGGCCAGGCUGGUCUUGAACUCCUGACCUCAAGUGAUUCACCCACCUCGGCCUCCCAAAAUGUUGGAAUUACAGGCGUGAGCCACUGCUCCUGGCCCUGAGACUGGGUGAUUUAUGCAAGAGAUUUAUUUGCCUCACAGUUCUGCAGGCUGUACAAGCAUCUGCUAGGCUUCUGGUGAAGCCUCAGGAAGCUUUUACUUCUGGUGGGAGGCAAAGAGGGAGCAGACGUGUCGCAUGGUGAGAGAAGAAGCAAGACAGAGGAGACAUCAAGCUCUCCUGUGAACUAAUAGAAAACUCACUCAUUGAAUCACUCGAACCUGGGAGGUGGAGGUUGCAGUGAGCCAAGAUCAUGCCACUGCACUCCAGCCUGGGCUAUGAGCGAGACUCUGCCUCAAAAAAUAAAAAAAUAAAAAAUAAAAAAUAAGAAAACUCACUCAUUACCAUGGGGAGGGCACUAAGCCAUUCAUGAGGGAUCCCCCACCAUGACCCAAACACCUCACAUUAUAGGCCCCAUCUCCAGCAUUGGGGAUCACAUUUCAACACGAGAUGUGGAUGGGACAAGUAUCCAAACUAUGUCAGAGGCCUCCCCCUCCCUCUCAUCAGAGUCUUCCGUCUUCAGUUCAGGGGCAUGCUGGCUUCCAUGCCUGGCUUCCUAGGAAGUCAUCUUGGCCCCAUGGGGUUGGGCAGGGCCACUAGCCCGAGGGUUGGAGCCCUAUCUCUCCUAGUCCCAGCCUGGGUCUCCAUCAUGGGCUAGCCCGCUCUGCUUGCUGCGUUCUCUCCACACCUGCUCCCUGCAGCCCAGGAGUCAGUCUGGGUGCAGGCCUGGGUAGAGUUCCAGGAGCAGAUUCUGCCCCCCAGCUCAUACCUCCUGUGCACCAUGGCAGCCAAAAUCCACCAGCAUGACCAGGAGUGCUGGCUUGUUCUUGUAGUCUCAGUGUUUUGGGAGGCUGAAG
Pan troglodytes (chimpanzee) is the source of this 7147-nucleotide RNA transcript. RefSeq lists it as uncharacterized. Lineage: Eukaryota; Metazoa; Chordata; Mammalia; Primates; Hominidae. The transcript has 3 exons. The record is from RefSeq and is a predicted model, not a curated record.